GACGAACGCUGGCGGCGUGCUUAACACAUGCAAGUCGAACGGAAAGGCCCUGCUUUUGUGGGGGGCUCGAGUGGCGAACGGGUGAGUAACACGUGAGUAACCUGCCCUUGACUUUGGGAUAACUUCAGGAAACUGGGGCUAAUACCGGAUAGGAGCUCCUGCUGCAUGGUGGGGGUUGGAAAGUUUCGGCGGUUGGGGAUGGACUCGCGGCUUAUCAGCUUGUUGGUGGGGUAGUGGCUUACCAAGGCUUUGACGGGUAGCCGGCCUGAGAGGGUGACCGGCCACAUUGGGACUGAGAUAGGGCCCAGACUCCUACGGGAGGCAGCAGUGGGGAAUAUUGCACAAUGGGCGGAAGCCUGAUGCAGCAACGCCGCGGGCGGGAUGACGGCCUUCGGGUUGUAAACCGCUUUCGCCUGUGACGAAGCGUGAGUGACGGUAAUGGGUAAAGAAGCACCGGCUAACUACGUG
RNAcentral lists this ribosomal RNA (468 nucleotides) under uncultured bacterium. Its description in RNAcentral is "partial 16S ribosomal RNA". It matches the Rfam family "Bacterial small subunit ribosomal RNA", at positions 28 to 507 of the family's 1533-position model. The record is from RNAcentral.